Lynx canadensis (Canada lynx) is the source of this 370-nucleotide long non-coding RNA. RefSeq lists it as uncharacterized. The record is from RefSeq and is a predicted model, not a curated record. NCBI's taxonomy places the organism in Eukaryota, Metazoa, Chordata, Mammalia, Carnivora, Felidae. The transcript has 3 exons.
GUGGGCAGAACGCACACUCCAAGGACAGGGGAUGGAAAGAGGUGGUUCUGACUGCCUUGCCCAGCUCGUGGGUUAACCGGUGGCCACAUCCUCUUGAUGACCUCCCUCAACAAUGAGAUGAAAGCCAUCAGCAAAGCUGAGACCAUGCCUUCAGGACAGACAGCGGAGGACUUUGGGAACUAGAGAGAAGAUACUGUCUGGACAGGGGAUCCUGGUUCUACCCUUUCUCCUGGAGUAUAGUGACAUAAUGUGCUCCUUAGAUAAAAUAUUCAGGGGACAGUUUACCAGCUCUCAUCUCUGAGCUGCUGACAGGCUCAAAAUAGAACAUUCUUUCCAUGUCUUUACAAACCAAGUGUUUCAAGGAAAAGAA